Molecule: ribosomal RNA, 704 nt
Filed under: uncultured bacterium
Lineage: Bacteria
Description: bacterial SSU rRNA
Rfam family: Bacterial small subunit ribosomal RNA
Source: RNAcentral
GUCGAGCGAGAAAGGGUAGCAAUACCUGAGUAAAGCGGCGCACGGGUGAGUAACACGUGGAUAACCUGCCUCGAAGUGGGGGAUAACACCGGGAAACCGGUGCUAAUACCGCAUACCCUGAUGAGAUCUGCGGAUUUUGUCAGUAAAGGAGCAAUUCGCUUUGAGAGGGGUCCGCGGCUGAUUAGCUAGUUGGUGAGGUAAUGGCUCACCAAGGCAUCGAUCAGUAGCCGGUCUGAGAGGACGGUCGGCCACACUGGAACUGAGACACGGUCCAGACUCCUACGGGAGGCAGCAGUGGGGAAUUUUUGGCAAUGGGGGAAACCCUGACCAAGCAACGCCGCGUGGAUGAUGAAGUAUCUUGGUACGUAAAAUCCUUUCGACGGGGACGAAGCCGCAAGGUUGACGGUACCCGUAGAAGAAGCCCCGGCUAACUCCGUGCCAGCAGCCGCGGUAAUACGGGGGGGGCAAGCGUUGUUCGGAAUUACUGGGCGUAAAGGGCGCGUAGGCGGCUCGCUAAGUCGGAUGUGAAAACUCUGGGCUCAAUCCAGAGCCUGCAUUCGAAACUGACGAGCUCGAGUUCUGGAGGGGAAAGCGGAAUUCCUGGUGUAGCGGUGAAAUGCGUAGAUAUCAGGAGGAACACCGGUGGCGAAGGCGGCUUUCUGGACAGAAACUGACGCUGAUGCGCGAAAGCUAGGGGAGCAAAC